GGGGCCCGGCGGCGGCUGCGCCUCACGCCGCGGUGGAGCCGCUUCCGCUGCGCACGGGGACAGCCCCGCAGGUGCGGUGGCCGCUUUCUCGCCGGUGCUAUCCCGGCGAGAACCGCCCCUGUCCCGGCCUCAGCCCGCGGUGAGGGGGAGCGGGGCGGCCUGAGGGGAGCUGCCCGCCUGAGGGGAGCCGCCCGCCUUUGGGGUCUUGGCGCGCGGGGUGGCGCGGAGCUGCACCGGCGUGUCGCGACAGGAGCGCUAGCCGUCCUGUGAGCGCUGCCCUCACCCUGUCGUGAUAGGAGCCUCAUUCAGUCCAGGGAGUUCUUGCACGGUGCCAUGGACAGUUCCACCAUGGCUUCUGCCAUUCCAAGUAUUUGCUGAAUCACAGGGAGAAGUCACACUCUGACUUUUCAAGAUUGAAAGGAAGACAUGUAGGUGCACUCCAUGUAGAAUGAAUCCUGUUCCCUGAAAUGCAGCUGGAGAACGAGGGCAGCUCAGGCCACCCCAGGCCCCAGGAGAUUGAUAGUGCUGGCAGCUGAGGAUCUAAUUAUGGAUUAUUUGGGUCGCACUCUUUUAUCCCAGGUCCAUGUGGAUCUUGCUGUAGCUCCAAGGACAGCUGAAAUCAACAUCACUAAAUCCCCCAAAUCUGCAGAAUAUUACAGUAGCUUUAUAGCUGGGAUGCCUCCUCCUCCAGUUCUGGAUAGGGAUAAGGAGAAGCCUUUGGAAAGAAAGUGAGCUGCUGCUCGUGUGACUGCUCAGAUUGGUGUUCCAGCUGGGACAAAUUUGGUCACCCUGAGGGGAGAGAAUCCUGCCAAGGGGAGAGAAUCCUGCCAAGGGGAGAGAGCCCUGCCCCGCUCACCGAACCGCCCUGCGCCGCUCCUGCGGGUCUGGGGACACGUAGGCCUUCAUCUCCUCCUUGGCACGCUGCAGCUGGAUCUCCAGGCUCUGUGAAGAAACACACCAUCCAAUACAUAUAUGGAGACUCUUUCCAGCUCCUCCUGGGUGUAGCUGUAUCCAGAGAUUCCUUUCUUCUCCUCAAUUGCUUGCUGCAGACACAAACAGUAAAUGCUGGAUGUGAGUCCAUUAACCAAGAAACAGCAAAUUCCUUUGUGGAGCCAAAUAUUGUGAAGAAGUGAAAAGUCCAACAGCCUUAGCUAAUUCACACCUGGACCUGUGUGUGUUCAACUGGGAACACAAGCACCAGGGGCUGCAACAAACAGGUAAGCUUUUUCUGUGCUUUAAUGUUUUCCAUCUGUUCUGCAGUCUCAGCUCUUGUUGUUGGAUUUUACAUGAGAGCUACAAGGUAAAUGCCAAUCACAGCUCAAAAAAUGCAUUCAGAUCCAGAGAUGCAAAGCAAAUAAAAUUUAUAAGAGUAAAUGAUGUAAGAACAGGCUUCAGAAUGCUCCUGGAUGAGGAGGUGUUCAGUGUGUGCAGGGAGCACAGACCAGGCAGCCCCAGGAGGAAAAUUAAUCCCACUCCCACUGAUACAGGUUUGAAAUUCAAACAUAAAAUAACUUAAAUUUCAAAAUUUACAUUAAUUUUUCUUUUUGUGAAAUUAUCCCUCCCCCUUCUACAGAAUAAACCCAAACCCCCAAUGUGACCAAAGGCUAAGAACCCCCAGAGUAACUGUAUGUUCUAUAAAAAGUGUCCUGGGCAAACUGCCCACAAUGAAAUCAACCCUGUUCAUCUGCCAUCCUGUGCAAUAUCUAGGCCAAAGCUGCCUCUCUCUUGCUACGCUCCAGAACUAUUUUUAAAGCCAAAAGCUAUAAACGUUUUUGGUGAAAGAACAAACCCACAAAUUACUCAAUGUGCUCUAUGCAGAUUGGCCUCUGAGAGGCUUUGGGAUAGCAUCCUACAUCCUGCUACUACCCAGGACAAGGAUACACAAGGUCACCUGAGCCCCUGUCACACUCUCUGCUACAUUACUGGCACAUUUAAUACAGUAGCACCAAAUUCAUUCCUUUUCUUAGCAAAUUCAAUCACAUCCUCUUUGUUAAUACAAAAGACUUUUUUUUUUUUCCUUUAAUUGCUUAGACAAUACCAAGAUUUCUGUGAUUUCCAAGGGAUUACAAAAGUAUAAAUACAAUCUCUCCAACCAGCUGAGGAAAAAAGGGAAAGCACAGCCAUCUGUCUUGAUCCUUGGGACAUUUCAUUUGACCAGUGGAAUAUAAUAAAGAAUGAGGUAAAGGAUUAAACUUAAUAUGUGACCACACAGAGCUAUCAAAUCUGAAUGAUCUUCUGUCAGUGCAUCCCAGGAUGAAAAGCAAACUGUAAUUCUCUUCACUUUAAAGGUCUUGAAAAUAGCUCGAGUGGGAGGUAGGGUAUUUGCAUAUUCAAUAUUCAAAGCAUAAUGUAUUUUACAAUGGAAGUCAAAGGAUCUUGUUGAUUAACGAACCAAUUCCACCACUGUUCUAUUAUUAGUUGAUUAACUUAGAACUAUAUAAUACAAAUUUCAUCCCAAAUGAACUACAAGUUGCUCACAGUGACAACUGAAAUCUGUUCCUUUCAGGAGGUGCAUGUCAGCACAACCUCUGGAUUUUUAAAGCAAACUUCACCUUUCACACAGCUUUUAUUGCAGCAAACAAGGUAAAACAGAUAUAAACAACAGUAGGAAAGUGAUCAUCUGUGUAGAAAAUCAACCAAUAAUUUGGCAAAAUGUUCAAAGGACCUAAUUUACUCCAAGGGCAGCACAGAUUAGCUCAUCAAAAUCUCACUGACUGAAGGCUCCUUUAGAUCCAGGGCCAAGUUCUGAGCUGGAGCUCUUAGAUUUGACUCCACUUAAAUCAACAGCUUGUAGGGAUCUUACAGCAAAAUUAGGCUUAUUCAGCCUAAAGCUGAGAGUCAUUCCAUAGGUUUCCAAAAAUUAAAAAAACAUAUAAAAUACCAAUGUUUUCAUCUGUGUGAGCACUGCUUCUGAGGCUUUAUACACCUCUUGUGUACACGAAAAAUCAAUGCCACCAAACACUGCAUUUUACUGUGGUGAAAGAUCUUUUCAAUAAAUGGAAUAGUUCACAGAGAAAUAACAUUCAUUGGCCACAUCACUUUCAAGUGAAGUAACCAAAGGAAUCCACUCCUGAGCAGCAGCAUUUUCCCACAGACCAAGGCAGCUGCUCCCUGUGUCCAAACUCAGCAGGCUCAUCCUGGAAUUCCCAGGGAUCUGCCCAUGCAGUGAUGUUCCAGUCAAGGCCAUGGCCACCAGUAGCUUUUCUUUCUCAGGCAAUUGAACACAAGCAGUUAUUUCAGCUUCUGAGAUGAAAUGACUGGAUGAGAACCAAGUGCUGGCACUAAGGGAGCAGUGGAAGCAAACCAGCCUGGAGCCUGUGUCAGCCCAGUCAGAGCCCCUGGAGACACAAAAACCAUCCAAGGGAAAGCAAGCAAAGAUUCUGCCUUUUCACUUGGCUAUUUUUAUGGGUGACUGUAACAUAACAAGCCUGGAAUGCAGAUUAUGGAACACAGUGAAUGAAAACAGGACUUUGAUUUCUCAUAUUAACACAGGCAUGCACCAUCCCUGGGCAGAUUUCCUGGAUUAUGCUCCAUUUUUACUCGAAGAGUCCAGCAAUACACCUCCUUUAUGCUUCUCCAUUUAUUGGAAUCUGGAAGAGGAUCUGACAGCUGCAGUGAGGAGCUGCCAACUGUGCCCCCUGCUCACUGCACUUUGAUUGAAGUACUUAAAAAGACUUCAUCAUCCACAAAGACAAUUUAUUCCUACUUUUUUGUGUUUGAUGUAAGUGAAUUCCUGCUGUUUCUGCUGAGUUCUAUCCAGGUGUACAACCUCUCACAGCCAGUGGAAUGCUUUUCAUGACUGUGGAAGAAGGAAAACACCAGCACCUAAAAAUCUAAGCCAGGCCUGACCUUUUGGUGAAGGAAAGGCUAAUAGCACCUCAGCUGGAGAUCCAAAUGCUGCUUUGGGAGCACGAGCUAGGAAGGUGCUGAUUCCUCCACUGCCAAGUCUUGAGAGUGCCAUGGGAUGUAACAGAACAGAGCAAAGUGAGACAAAGCAAAGAUCAGAAAUGCUGGGUAUAGGAGAAAAAUAAUGCUUUCAUUUAACUAUAACACUUUGAUAGGAUUAAAAAAUCCAUUUAAAUUUAAGACAGCAAUGCUAUUUGUUAAAACUCCCUCUUUCUGCCUUUUUAAAAAUGGAGGAACUAAAUGUCAAACAUGUCACUGGAAGAGGAAAGUGCAAGGAAGCUCUUGGCUGUCAGAGUGUGAAGUGAAGGUUGAAUGGACAAACUCCUCCUGUCCCCAUGAACUGCAGCACUGACUCACCACCACAUUAAUCAACAUUUCCUCUGCUCUUGCCUCAAAGCUGGAGCACUGAACCAGAAAAUACAAAUCCUGAAGCAGAACAUACCAGAAACAAACCUGCAGCAGGAGUUUGGCUGGGAGUGAGAAACCCAGAUUUUCACUGGGGAGGAAGAACCUGCUCAUGCCACUUUUGCUUCAUCACCUCUUUCCUGCCAGCCCUGGCUCAUCUCAGCCCUGGCUCCUCACACCCCCUCUGAGGCAGGACUGGCUCCGUGCAUCUGCCAUGGACUUGGAGGAGAUGCAGAAUCUACAGCACCAAGGCCCUGGGCAGCAAUUCUGGCAGCAGACAUUUACAAAGAAUUAAACAUCACUGUCUCCACUUUCCAGAUGAGGAAACCAUGACCUUUGAAACAGAAGUGACCAAAAACCAUCAAGAAUUCAAACCUUUUCCUAGUCUUUAGGCACACGAAACACCCUUUUUACUGCUUUGCACUGAUGCCUGUGAGUACCACUGCACUUCACCUAAGGAAGUAAUAAACAUGAACAGGACAUGGAUUUAUAUAUUGACUUCCUUGCCAGUACACAUUUCCUUGCAGAAAAUAUUUUAAAAAUCAGGAAAUGCCUCUUAUGAAAAGACAAACACUUCUGAUUUUAAGCCAGUGUUUUUUUUCCAAAUUGCUCCUUUAUCCUUGUCUCUGCAAAAUGAAGACUUGAAAAUAUUUUAAAAGUCAAAAGCAGAACAUAUUUGAACAAAAGGAAUGCAGGCUAUGUCCAAAACAGAUCUUGUCCUUUUUCUGUCUCGAGCCACUUCCUUGUGUCAGACAGUUAACUUGAGUUUUUCAUUACUAAGCCUUUCACAAUGUUGUGAGGUUUCCUUCCUACCCAGUUCUCCUCAAAUUUCUAUGGAUCAGUUUCUUGUCUCCUGAAGAAUAAGCACAAUUAUUUCUUACCUUACAGUGCCUGUGCAGAUAAUGUAAAACAUAUGCUGCUGUCUUGGUAAUACAUUCUUGUUGAUUAAUUAAACACUUCUUUCCAUCACAUGUCACAAAACACAAAUUGUCAGCUUUCUGCUUUAAUUUUUGCUUAAAAACUUGUCAAAGACUCCAGCAAUGUGCCCACUGGAGCUGAAAACCUUGGAGGGGAGAAAAAUGCAAUGCAGUGGGUUCCCAAUUAUUGCUACCAAAGGAAAGGGAACAGUGUAUGCUGGGAAGAGAAACCAAUAUCUUCAUCUUCAAACCAAUUUCCACAUCUCUGUGCCAUUCCUCCCACCUGAACUCCUCAUCCACACUUUCAGACUCCUUUAAAAGUAGCUGAUUUUGUGGAGCAGCCACGUCCUAUGGGAUUAGGAAGGGAGUUCCUUCUAAAAAGGGAGUUCCCUGUAUUUAGUAGUAUGUAAUAAAGCACAAAAACAGAGAACAGGCAAGCAAAGAGUGUGUGCUUCUGGCUAAAUGAUGGCAGUGCAAAGACAUGGGAGAAUGAUAUUAACUCAGAGAAUGAUGCAGAUAAAAUUCUCUUUAGUUUAGUGACUCUACCUGUAAGUUCCCUUAGCAGGAUUCUUCCUAACUGGGAAAAAAUUACUGGCUGAAAAAAAGUCAAUUUGUUUUGCUGGCAAGCCAGUACCAAACUGCUAAUCCCUUAUUCUUUGCAAACUUCUGAAGCAGAAAAAGCUGCUUUGAGAAGUACAGCUGCCAAUCUCACUGUGCCUGGGCCACACUGUCUGUGCCAGCCAAAGUGGUGUCACAGCUGAACCUCAGGAGGGUCUGAGAAAUUUGGGUUUUAAGUAAAAACUUUUGUGGGUAAUAAAUACCACAGGACUAAUUGCAUCUCUGAUAAUCACUGGUAUUAUGCUUUAUAAUCAUACAGACUUUUUUAUAUUAUUUCUAACCCUACUGACCUUUCUGGUUAGUUAUUCACCAUCACACCACUGUGAUAAUAUUGCCAUUAUUUGGAAUAUUAAUCCAGCCCAACACUGUGUCCUUGCACACCUUGCAAUGGAUUAGGCAAUGUGAGUAAGAGAAAUUAAUCAUUUGAAAAUAGCUACAAAUCCCUACCUCAUCC
Molecule: long non-coding RNA, 6300 nt
Organism: Haemorhous mexicanus (house finch)
Lineage: Eukaryota; Metazoa; Chordata; Aves; Passeriformes; Fringillidae
Exons: 8
Source: RefSeq, a predicted model, not a curated record